GCUAAGAUAGAUGGCGACCGGCGCACGGGUGCGUAACGCGUAUGCAACCUACCUGUAAUUAGGGGAUAACCCGGUGAAAGUCGGACUAAUACCCUAUAUUCUUCUUUAUUCGCAUGGAUAUGGACGGAAAGAUUAAUUGAUUACAGAUGGGCAUGCGUCCCAUUAGCUGGUUGGUAAGGUAACGGCUUACCAAGGCAACGAUGGGUAGGGGGACUGAGAGGUUGACCCCCCACACUGGUACUGAGACACGGACCAGACUCCUACGGGAGGCAGCAGUGAGGAAUAUUGGUCAAUGGGCGAGAGCCUGAACCAGCCAAGUCGCGUGAAGGAAGACGGUUCUAUGGAUUGUAAACUUCUUUUGUAGAGGAAUAAUGGCGGUUACGCGUAACCGAGAUGCAAGUACUCUACGAAUAAGCAUCGGCUAACUCCGUGCCAGCAGCCGCGGUAAUACGGAGGAUGCGAGCGUUAUCCGGACUUAUUGGGUUUAAAGGGUGCGUAGGUGGCUUGUUUAGUC
Molecule: ribosomal RNA, 514 nt
Filed under: uncultured bacterium
Lineage: Bacteria
Description: bacterial SSU rRNA
Rfam family: Bacterial small subunit ribosomal RNA
Source: RNAcentral